AGCCAAUACACUCAAUCAACUCUAUUAAUAAAAGCUACAGCGACAUUCUGAGUGUGAACACUACUGUUGUUAAAUGUUUGGCCAAUGCUGAGAAACGUGAAAAGGCAAUAAAUGUAAAUAAAGAGGAUAUAAACUUGACAAAGGAAAAAUAAUUGAUCUUGUAAUCAAUAUUGAUUAGUAAAAUUGUAAUUCGUUGGUGCGAACCUGUUUACUGGUCUAGACCACAUUAUCGGUCCACAUCUGGAACACAUUUAUGAUCAUGUGACUAUUUGCCAUACAAGAAAUUAAGGCCUACUGCUGUUCCUACAAAAAAUUGCAGUUCGAGUCACAAAUCAUCCGACUCUUCGGACAUUUCUAAUUAUUCGAUGGAGGCUGGAAUAGAAAGAAAUGCUUCAUCAGUGGAAUUACGUAAAGCUAAGAAGGAUCAGCGUCUAAAACGACGUAGUUUUGUUACACAAAAUCAAAAACUGUCAGAUUUAUCGAAUAAAGCUGACGUAUCACUCGCUUCUGCUC
Cyphomyrmex costatus is the source of this 513-nucleotide long non-coding RNA. RefSeq lists it as uncharacterized. NCBI's taxonomy places the organism in Eukaryota, Metazoa, Arthropoda, Insecta, Hymenoptera, Formicidae. The transcript is spliced from 4 exons. The record is from RefSeq and is a predicted model, not a curated record.